AUUGAACGCUGGCGGCAUGCCUUACACAUGCAAGUCGAACGGCAGCACGGGGCAACCUGGUGGCGAGUGGCGAACGGGUGAGUAAUGCAUCGGAACGUGCCAUUGAGUGGGGGAUAACGUAGCGAAAGUUGCGCUAAUACCGCAUAUUCUGUGAGCAGGAAAGCAGGGGACCGCAAGGCCUUGCGCUCUUUGAGCGGCCGAUGUCAGAUUAGCUAGUUGGUGAGGUAACGGCUUACCAAGGCGACGAUCUGUAGCGGGUCUGAGAGGAUGAUCCGCCACACUGGAACUGAGACACGGUCCAGACUCCUACGGGAGGCAGCAGUGGGGAAUUUUGGACAAUGGGGGCAACCCUGAUCCAGCAAUGCCGCGUGAGUGAAGAAGGCCCUCGGAUUGUAAAGCUCUUUUGUCAGGGAAGAAAAGGCUGUGGCUAAUAUCCACAGCUGCUGACGGUACCUGAAGAAUAAGCACC
This 469-nucleotide ribosomal RNA is filed under the name uncultured bacterium. RNAcentral describes it as "bacterial SSU rRNA". It matches the Rfam family "Bacterial small subunit ribosomal RNA", at positions 30 to 494 of the family's 1533-position model. The record is from RNAcentral.